This is a long non-coding RNA of Myotis lucifugus (little brown bat), 1814 nucleotides long. RefSeq lists it as uncharacterized. Lineage: Eukaryota; Metazoa; Chordata; Mammalia; Chiroptera; Vespertilionidae. The transcript has 3 exons. The record is from RefSeq and is a predicted model, not a curated record.
GGGGCGGGGGGGGAGAGAUAAUUCUGUACAGAGAAGUUCCCUCAUGUACAAUAUACAUACAGAUUUAAAAUAUGGUUUACUUCUAAGCAGAAUCAUUUGUUUUAAUGACAGAGAGCUCUCCACAUCCUGCAAUCUGAAAGCAUUUUGUGUAGUGAUUUCCUGAGUCUCAACAUUACAUUUGGAAGAUCAGAGGCAAUCAUUGAUUUCCAAUGAGGCCCUACAAGUUCAACAGGAACAUGGAUCUUAUUAAGCAGGGAAAAUGUUUGAACAUGUGUUUCUUGAAGACCCAGGGCCAUAGAGCUACAAUCUAAUUAAUUGAAAUUACCAAAAACUGUAAUAGUGAAUAGUGCCAAAGCUACAUCAGGAAAUAGCUACUACAGACUAAGCGAGGAUUCACUAGUUUACCAGGCCAGCCUCUAAAUUCUAUUUAACUCAAAAUGUAAUUGAAAACCUAUAUACCUGCAGUGAUUAACAAAUAGCACCAAAUAAUACCAUUAGUCAAGAGACACAUGAAGAAUAUGUCUACCCCAGAUUUAGGAACAAAAUGCAGAAAACACAAAUGUCUCUCUGAAUCCAUAUUCAUAUCUCUCUUAGUGCUUUGGCCGCAUAUUUUAGGAAGGUCAGUCUCAAUAACACACAUGUGUAAAAAUGCCAGCAGACUUAGAGUCUGAAAGCCACCUCUCCAACCUAUAGCUAUGUGAUCUCAUCUGUAAGACAGUCUUGCCUACCUUCCACUUUUAAAGUAGAAUGACUUCAUGCUGGGAAAAUAGAUUACUUUGUAAGUAAUAAUGCAUCAUUUGGUAUGAAGUGUUACUACUCCUUCAUUCAGCAAACAACUGUGCCAGGCACUGCUAGGCAUCAGGAGUUUAAAAAUGGAUAAUCCAGGCACUGUGCACAGGGAACUCACUGUCUGACAGCUUGUCAUUCCCCAUAGCAACCAAUCAGGUUUGUCUCAUCAGGAUAGAAACUCACAGGACAUGUAGAGUGCCUGCCUCUUAAGUAGCCUGGUAAGUUCCAAGUACUCCUCCAGCCUACCUCAUUCUAUGGUGAGUUAGGUUGGUAACCAGGCUGGAGGAUAGAGCAAAUACCCAGAGAAACCAAAGGACAGAGGAAAUAAAGACCCAAUCACACCACAAUUAGGCUUCAGGACUUUGUCUAAACAUUUCUGAGUCUCUAGCUGCAUGACUUUCCAUGGCCUUGGUACUUGGUUCCUCAUUCACCAUGUUUAGCAAGCAAAGAGCCCCCUUCCCAGUCCUCCAGAUAUAAGGACAGUUGAAAAUGCUUCCAUUGACCAAUGAGUUCAGAAGGAAUAUUGGAACACAGUUAGAAGGCUCUUGCUUGCAAAAUUAGUCCCCUCACACCAACUUUCAUCCAAUGACUGCCCUGGCAGAGGUUUGUUGGGCCUCCAUGCUACUGUAAGUAGGAAGGCAAGGAGCAUAACAUGGCAGGACUUAUGCAAGCUUCAAUUCACACCUCUUUUGCGGCUUUCCAAGGGCCACGCGGCAGCACAGUGUAACAACCACCAAGGGAGCCCAAGACCUUGACAUUUCCAACAAGAUGUUGCUGUUUGCUGCCAGCUACCUGUGCACUACUAGAAGAGACCACAUUUUUCAAAAAUAAGGCAGCUACCAGUUUAAUAGGAGAUCAAGCUGACUCCUAAUACAGAGCUCGUCCCACUAUCUCCUCUCCUACCAACAAACUUCUACAAAACCAAGGAGGACUAUUAAUCACUCUACUGCAUAAUAUAUUCAACCCAAGAAAAGGAAUAACCUGGGUAUGUGCCCUGACCUGGAAUUGAACCUGCCACCUUCUGG